RNAcentral lists this ribosomal RNA (279 nucleotides) under uncultured euryarchaeote. Its description in RNAcentral is "partial 16S ribosomal RNA". It matches the Rfam family "Archaeal small subunit ribosomal RNA", at positions 1047 to 1325 of the family's 1478-position model. The record is from RNAcentral. Lineage: Archaea; Methanobacteriati; Methanobacteriota. RNAcentral also lists the same sequence under 3 other names.
GAGACCCACGCCCACAGUUGCCAGCGUACUCUCUGGAGUGACGGGUACACUGUGGGGACCGCCGCUGCUAAAGCGGAGGAAGGAAUGGGCAACGGUAGGUCAGUAUGCCCCGAAUGUCCCGGGCUACACGCGGGCUACAAUGGUUGGUACAAUGGGUAUCUACCCCGAAAGGGGAUGGAAAUCUCCUAAAGCCAAUCUUAGUUCGGAUUGAGGGCUGCAACUCGCCCUCAUGAAGCUGGAAUCCGUAGUAAUCGCGUUUCAAUAGAACGCGGUGAAUAC